This 253-nucleotide ribosomal RNA is filed under the name uncultured bacterium. Its description in RNAcentral is "partial 16S ribosomal RNA". It matches the Rfam family "Bacterial small subunit ribosomal RNA", at positions 524 to 776 of the family's 1533-position model. The record is from RNAcentral.
UACGUAGGGUGCGAGCGUUAAUCGGAAUUACUGGGCGUAAAGCGUGCGCAGGCGGUUCGUUAAGUCAGAUGUGAAAGCCCCGGGCUCAACCUGGGAACUGCAUUUGAAACUGGCGGGCUUGAGUGUGGCAGAGGGGGGUGGAAUUCCGCGUGUAGCAGUGAAAUGCGUAGAGAUGCUGAGGAACACCGAUGGCGAAGGCAGCCCCCUGGGCCAACACUGACGCUCAGGCACGAAAGCGUGGGGAGCAAACAGG